RNAcentral lists this long non-coding RNA (1635 nucleotides) under Bemisia tabaci. RNAcentral describes it as "lncRNA ENSSSA2NGG013576". Lineage: Eukaryota; Metazoa; Arthropoda; Insecta; Hemiptera; Aleyrodidae. The record is from RNAcentral.
UCAAUCAGACGAAGAUAUAAUACUUAUUAGGGCAGGGGAAUACGCAUAUAGACUUCCUGUAAGAGAGCCUGGAAAAAAUCAAGAUUUUUUGCGAUGUAUAUAUUUUAAAUUAGCUUCUUGAAGAUUUGAGACUCUUUUCUUUGAUUCGUAGGUUGACAAACUUCAUGAAUAAUUUACGAGGGAAACGAAAUUCAGUUGAUGAAAUUAAACAUGAAAAGCUUUAAAUAGGAAGGGGUGAGUACUGACAUUGACUUUUGUGACAAAUUUUUCGUCGUAUAUUGUUAUUUAACUUUGAGGCCGCAUGUUUUGAUGAAUUUUCCUCUGAAAAGUUUGUAUAUAUAUAUAUCUCUCUAAAAGUAUAUCACCUUUACAGUUGAAAAAUUCAUUUUUAUUUUAGCUUCCUAUAUUUUAAAGGCAUAUAAAAUGAGUAGAUUUGUAAUAUUUCAGGUGAAUUGGCGAAGUUAAGUGGCAUCUUUGAAAAAAAAAAUUGAAUAAAACUUUGCUCGAAGUAACCUUAGAGAAAAAUGUAUCAAUAAAUCUCAUUUAGCCUUCUAAAAUCUCCGGUUUUCGUACCAUGAGCUUUCGUGUAGUUUUUUAAUGUGCAGAAAUCACAAAAAUGUCACCUAACUUCCUCAUCGAUAGCUUUUAAUUUUACUUGGAGACAUUGAAAUAUUAUUUUCCUUUUGUCCAUAAGCAUUGUUUGGACAGUAUCAUGUAUAUACUAUCGAUCUAUUUUUCAUCAAAUCUUCGUUUAAUUUUUUACAGGUAUCAUGACAAUGUUUUGCCUCCUAAAAGCAUGCUGAGGACUUCCAUUAUACAAACACCAAAUGUCCAAAGAUGUUAGUUGAUGAACCUGAACGUGGUGCAGACAUGAGAAAGGCUACAGUUGAAUGUGUCACAUUUUGAGGCGCUGUUCCUACACUUGAGGAAUUUGCUCAAAGUGAAAAUAUCGAGGGCCAAGUGCAUUGAUGCCGGCCGCUUGAGGUCUCUUAAUCUCUCAACGAGUAUGAAAUGACUCAAAACACCUGGCACGUCAAACUUCGUCCAUAAUGUGUUGACUUUAAUGGCCCGUCCAUUCAUUUUUUCCACUUAAAGAUUCGGUUUUGAAAGCCAAAAAUGGUGGAAACACCCCCCCCCCCCCGUUAUUUUUAACCUUGAGUUUGACCGGGGCUCGUCCAGCAAAAUAAUCUGGAUUGCAACGUUUUUCAUUAAAAUAGAUGUACUUUUACGAUACUUAGACUACUGUGGAUUAAACGUCGCGAUGUUUACCCUCCAAGUUUCCUCGGUACGUCAAAUGUGCGAAGCAAAGACUUUAAUAAUGUGAAUCCGAUUUAAAGGAUAGACUAACACAGGUGAGGGUCAUCUAACUAAAUGGACGUAUUCAAAUCAAAAGAAACUGCACUCUCUUCCUGACAUGAGACUCAUAAAAAUAUAUGCAUGGCAGGGCUCAUGUCGCAGUGGACAUACUUCCUUUUGAUUUAAAUGCAUGAAAAUGAUGAGAUAAAGUGCAUCAUUUUUGCGACAUUGAAAAUGUCCAUCAUACCUAUUUUUUAACUGUAAAGUGGUGGAGUUUACGGUGAUAUAUCUCUUCUCCAUAAAAAUAUUACGAAGAUACCAUCAACCAAUAAAGUUUGU